UGGGAUUACAGGCAUGAGCCACUGAGCCCCGCGACUUGGAUUUCCAAAGCUGCUAUUCCUUAAGGCCUCACAUUAUCCCCAGUUCAAAGCUGCCUGUUCUAGUCAUCAUUCCUACCUCUGCCACGAACACUACCCAGGCACCCCCAACCCCUCAGCAGCCUGGGGCUGAGGGCAUGUAUUUCUCAGGUCCUCAAGCCCAGUAAUCUUGGACUUGUGGUGUCAGGAGGAUGCCAGGUCCCCUCACUGAUCUUACCUUCCUUGCUCUCCACCCCUGAUCCCCAGUGAACUGCAUGGUUGGUUCAGAAAGGGGAAGCCAUGUCAUGAUCACAGCCUGCUCCAUCUCCCCCUA
Long non-coding RNA from Cercocebus atys (sooty mangabey), 349 nucleotides. RefSeq lists it as uncharacterized. Lineage: Eukaryota; Metazoa; Chordata; Mammalia; Primates; Cercopithecidae. The record is from RefSeq and is a predicted model, not a curated record. The transcript is spliced from 4 exons.